CCCUUAGAUGUUCUGGGCCGCACGCGCGCUACACUGAUGCAUUCAACGAGUUUCCUUGGCCGAGAGGCCUGGGCAAUCUUUUGAACGUGCAUCGUGAUAGGGAUAGAUUAUUGCAAUUAUUAAUCUUGAACGAGGAAUUCCUAGUAAACGCAGAUCAUCAAUCUGCAUUGAUUACGUCCCUGCCCUUUGUACACACCGCCCGUCGCACCUACCGAUUGAAUGGUCCGGUGAAGCCUCGGGAUUGUGGCGAGUUCCCUUUAUUGGGAGUUUGUUGCGAGAACUUGUCUAAACCUUAUCAUUUAGAGGAAGGUGAAGUCGUAACA
Molecule: ribosomal RNA, 323 nt
Filed under: uncultured eukaryote
Lineage: Eukaryota
Description: partial 18S ribosomal RNA
Rfam family: Eukaryotic small subunit ribosomal RNA
Source: RNAcentral